UAAAAUUCGGUAAAAGACUGAAAUUUAACUACAAUAUUGGCUGAGUUUGGAAUUUUUUCAAAGUUGAAAUUCGGUAAAAAACUGAAAUCUAACUUUGAAAAUCACUAGACACGUAAAUAUUCCACAAGGGAAUAACCACGUAACAGCCAAUACUCGGUUUAGAUAGCUAAAAACGCAAAAUUUGAGUAAAAUCUCAAAAUUUUGAAAAAUAACGCUAUGUGAAACGUUACGCGUUACGUUACGGGCAGAAACGUGAGCCACCACAUCCGCAUGUACUCUGACGAAAUAACACCGGCGAAAAUGUGCUCUUAUCACCAUUUCAUUACUUCGAAGGAAAAUUUGACUGACUUAUAAGUUGUUCCAAGUAAAAUUGCGAUCUUUUUGAAUAAUUGAAGCUGUUUUAAGGUUCAUCCACGUAUUAAAUUACUGUUCAUCGAUUUCUACAGUGCCAGCUGUAUUGAAACGAAAAAAUGGAAGCCCAACCGAAUAUUGUCCACCACGAGCACACUAUAUCGACGCAACGUAUUCGUCAGACGUGUCGUAUUAGAAAAAUCAACGGCGAAAUCUUCAGAAAAUGUUACGUUAGAAAUAACAACGGUAAUGAAACGCCGAAAUGGAUUCAGUUGUCCUACCUGGAGUGGUGGGAUAAUCUCACGGAAAAUACCAACCACUAUCAGGAGUAAUUAAUUAAUACGAUAACGACGGCGCAGAAAUUCCAGCGAAUCGACGUAUUUGCGGGUGAAUCAGCGCACCAGAUUGCGACAAUGAAACACAUACAAGAUGUGAUCAUCGUCGUGAUUAAUUUAGUCAUAUCGUAUCAAUUUGCAUUUCCGUACUUGUUUCCUACACCUUAAAUAUAAAUGUAUUUCGUACCGCUUGCUUUAAUUAGUCAUUCACACUCUCAUUGCACAGCUUAACAUUGCAUACUUCGCCAAAAGUAAACAAUGUACGCUCUCUCACAGCUUAAUUACACGCAAAUGAACAAAUGGAUACUUCGUAGGAAGUAACCUAACGUUCAACAUAUGCCUCACAUAAUUAACAACUCAACCGCUUGAGAGUAUUUUAAUCAAACUCGAUACUAAUAUCGUUCUCGAUCGAUUAUUUAGUGCUCAAGAAAAAAGGGAAGCUGCAAUUAAGCAAUGAUGAAGGCUGAAAUGAAAAAUACAUCGAAUAACUACAAAUACAAAUUCAGGUAACAACUCGAAGUUUAUUUGUAUACUAAAUUAUUCGAUGAUAAAAGCAAGCAACGUGAAUAUUACACAUCAAUGGUAAAAUGAAUUUAUACAAUGAAUUCAUCACAUUCGGUUUUCGUUUCAAAAUAGUUAGCAACAAGCUACGUGAGUUGAAAAUUACUCUAAUAAGAGUUGGUUUCGAACUUAUGAUUAGAUUUUGAAAGUUAGCAUUACAUCUACGAUCAAUUCACCGGCGAGUGAAAUGAUUCUAACGUGGAAGAGCUACGAAGAUGAAACCGAACGUUGAUGCAAAACUUUCUUUAUGGUAAAAUAAAACAUCAUUAAAGUACCAACUACAUACUUCAACGUAAGUAAAUAGUAAGUACUGUACGAUCUCUCAAAGUACAGAUUGUCAUGAUGGCGUUUAUUUUUUGAAAUCACCUAAUAGUGAGAAUUAAUUUAGCGACGAUGAU
Planococcus citri (citrus mealybug) is the source of this 1645-nucleotide long non-coding RNA. RefSeq lists it as uncharacterized. The transcript has 3 exons. NCBI's taxonomy places the organism in Eukaryota, Metazoa, Arthropoda, Insecta, Hemiptera, Pseudococcidae. The record is from RefSeq and is a predicted model, not a curated record.